GAUGAACGCUGACAGAAUGCUUAACACAUGCAAGUCUACUUGAAGCUAACUUCGGUUAGUGGAGGGUGGCGGACGGGUGAGUAACGCGUAAAGAACUUGCCUCACAGUUUGGGACAACAUUUGGAAACGAAUGCUAAUACUAAAUAUUAUGAUACUUCUGCAUGGAAAAUCAUGAAAGCUAUAUGCGCUGUGAGAGAGCUUUGCGUCCCAUUAGCUAGUUGGAGAGGUAACGGCUCACCAAGGCGAUGAUGGGUAGCCGGCCUGAGAGGGUGAACGGCCACAAGGGGACUGAGACACGGCCCUUACUCCUACGGGAGGCAGCAGUGGGGAAUAUUGGACAAUGGACCAAAAGUCUGAUCCAGCAAUUCUGUGUGCACGAUGAAGUUUUUCGGAAUGUAAAGUGCUUUCAGUUGGGAAGAAGCAAGUGACGGUACCAACAGAAGAAGCGACGGCUAAAUACGUGCCAGCAGCCGCGGUAAUACGUAUGUCGCAAGCGUUAUCCGGAUUUAUUGGGCGUAAAGCGCGUCUAGGUGGUUAUGUAAGUCUGAUGUGAAAAUGCGGGGCUCAACUCCGUAUUGCGUUGGAAACUGUAUGACUAGAGUACUGGAGAGGUAAGCGGAACUACAAGUGUAGAGGUGAAAUUCGUAGAUAUUUGUAGGAAUGCCGAUGGGGAAGCCAGCUUACUGGACAGAUACUCACGCUAAAGCGCGAAAGCGUGGGUAGCAAACAGG
This 731-nucleotide ribosomal RNA is filed under the name uncultured bacterium. RNAcentral describes it as "bacterial SSU rRNA". It matches the Rfam family "Bacterial small subunit ribosomal RNA", at positions 28 to 776 of the family's 1533-position model. The record is from RNAcentral.